UAAACGAUGGGUACUAGGUGUGGGGAGUCUACCCCCUCAGUGCCGCAGCUAACGCAUUAAGUACCCCACCUGGGGAGUACGAUCGCAAGGUUGAAACUCAAAGGAAUUGACGGGGGCCCGCACCAGCGGUGGAGCAUGUGGUUUAAUUCGAUGCAACGCGAAGAACCUUACCUGGGCUUGACAUGCAGGGGACAGAUAUAGAAAUAUAUCCUUCUUCGGACUCCUGCACAGGUGCUGCAUGGCUGUCGUCAGCUCGUGUCGUGAAAUGUUGGGUUAAGUCCCGCAACGAGCGCAACCCUUGUCUUUAGUUGCCAUCAGGUAAUGCUGGGGACUCUAGAGAGACUGCCGGUGACAAACCGGAGGAAGGUGGGGACGACGUCAAGUCAUCAUGGCCCUUACGCCCAGGGCUACACACGUGUUACAAUGGUCGGUACAAUGGGCUGCGAAACAGUGAUGUGGAGCGAAUCCCAAAAAGCCGGCCUCAGUUCGGAUCGGAGUCUGCAACUCGACUCCGUGAAGUUGGAAUCGCUAGUAAUCGCUUAUCAGAACGAAGCGGUGAAUACGUUCCCGGGCCUUGUACACACCGCCCGUCAAGUCAACCGAGUUGGUUGCACCCCAAGUCGCUGAGCUAACCCGUAAGGGAGGCAAGUGCCCAAGGUGUGAUUGGCGAGGGGGACUAAGUCGUAACAAGGUAGCCGUA
Molecule: ribosomal RNA, 700 nt
Filed under: uncultured bacterium
Lineage: Bacteria
Description: bacterial SSU rRNA
Rfam family: Bacterial small subunit ribosomal RNA
Source: RNAcentral